GUCGAGCGCGGGAGCGAGCUGAAGCCCUUCGGGGUGGACGCUCGUGGAACGAGCGGCGGACGGGUGAGUAACACGUGGGCAACCUACCUGUGAGACGGGGAUAACUCCGGGAAACCGGGGCUAAUACCGGAUAACGCAUCGAACCGCAUGGUUCGAUGAUCAAAGAUGGCUUCUAGCUAUCACUCACAGAUGGGCCCGCGGCGCAUUAAUUAGUUGGUGAGGUAAUGGCUCACCAAGGCGACGAUGCGUAGCCGACCUGAGAGGGUGAUCGGCCACACUGGGACUGAGACACGGCCCAGACUCCUACGGGAGGCAGCAGUAGGGAAUCAUCCGCAAUGGACGCAAGUCUGACGGUGCAACGCCGCGUGAGCGAUGAAGGUCUUCGGAUCGUAAAGCUCUGUUGUGAGGGAAGAACAAGUGCCGUUCGAAUAGGGCGGCACCUUGACGGUACCUCACCAGAAAGCCCCGGCUAACUACGUGCCAGCAGCCGCGGUAAUACGUAGGGGGCAAGCGUUGUCCGGAAUUAUUGGGCGUAAAGCGCGCGCAGGCGGUUCCUUAAGUCUGAUGUGAAAGGCCACAGCUCAACUGUGGAGGGCCAUUGGAAACUGGGGAACUUGAGGACAGAAGAGGAGAGCGGAAUUCCACGUGUAGCGGUGAAAUGCGUAGAUAUGUGGAGGAACACCAGUGGCGAAGGCGGCUCUCUGGUCUGUAACUGACGCUGA
This 722-nucleotide ribosomal RNA is filed under the name Alkalibacillus sp. B002. RNAcentral's name for it is "bacterial SSU rRNA". It matches the Rfam family "Bacterial small subunit ribosomal RNA", at positions 61 to 749 of the family's 1533-position model. Lineage: Bacteria; Bacillati; Bacillota; Bacilli; Caryophanales; Bacillaceae. The record is from RNAcentral.